RNAcentral lists this ribosomal RNA (230 nucleotides) under uncultured bacterium. RNAcentral describes it as "partial 16S ribosomal RNA". It matches the Rfam family "Bacterial small subunit ribosomal RNA", at positions 561 to 790 of the family's 1533-position model. The record is from RNAcentral.
UAAAGCGUGCGUAGGCGGCUUUUUAAGUCGGAUGUGAAAUCCCCGAGCUUAACUUGGGAAUUGCAUUCGAUACUGGGAAGCUAGAGUAUGGGAGAGGAUGGUAGAAUUCCAGGUGUAGCGGUGAAAUGCGUAGAGAUCUGGAGGAAUACCGAUGGCGAAGGCAGCCAUCUGGCCUAAUACUGACGCUGAGGUACGAAAGCAUGGGGAGCAAACAGGAUUAGAUACCCUGU